RNAcentral lists this ribosomal RNA (800 nucleotides) under uncultured bacterium. Its description in RNAcentral is "bacterial SSU rRNA". It matches the Rfam family "Bacterial small subunit ribosomal RNA", at positions 8 to 839 of the family's 1533-position model. The record is from RNAcentral.
AGAGUUUGAUCCUGGCUCAGAACGAACGUUGGCGGCAUGGAUUAGGCAUGCAAGUCGAGGGAAUCCCAGCAAUGGGGGAACCGGCGUAAGGGGCAGUAAGGCAUGGGUACCUACCCUGAAGUUCGGGAUAGCCAUCAGAGAUGGUGGGUAAUACCGGAUGAUGUCGUGAGACCAAAGAUUUAUCGCUUUGGGAGGGGCCCAUGUGAUAUUAGCUAGUUGGUGAGGUAACGGCUUACCAAGGCAAAGAUGUCUAGCGGGUAUGAGAGUACGACCCGCGCCACUCGCACUGAGACACUGGCGAGACACCUACGGGUGGCUGCAGUCGAGGAUCUUCGGCAAUGGGCGAAAGCCUGACCGAGCGAUGCCGCGUGCGCGAUGAAGGCCUUCGGGUUGUAAAGCGCUUUAGUGGGGGAGAAAAGCCCGAAAGGGUUUGAUCUAUCCCAAAAAUAAGCUCGGGCUAAGUUCGUGCCAGCAGCCGCGGUAAGACGAACCGAGCGAACGUUGUUCGGAAUCACUGGGCUUAAAGGGCGCGUAGGCGGGCUGUCAAGUCUGGGGUGAAAUCCCACGGCUCAACCGUGGAACUGCCUUAGAUACUGACGGCCUCGAGGGAGAUAGGGGCGAGCGGAACUGUGAGUGGAGCGGUGAAAUGCGUUGAUAUUCACAGGAACUCCGGUGGCGAAGGCGGCUCGCUGGAUCUUUUCUGACGCUGAGGCGCGAAAGCUAGGGGAGCAAACGGGAUUAGAUACCCCGGUAGUCCUAGCCCUAAACGUUGGGUACUGGGUAGUAGACUAGACAUGGGU